Molecule: ribosomal RNA, 364 nt
Filed under: uncultured bacterium
Lineage: Bacteria
Description: bacterial SSU rRNA
Rfam family: Bacterial small subunit ribosomal RNA
Source: RNAcentral
AACGAACGCUGGCGGCAGGCUUAACACAUGCAAGUCGAACGCACCGCAAGGUGAGUGGCAGACGGGUGAGUAACGCGUGGGAACGUGCCCUUCAGUUCGGAAUAACCCAGGGAAACUUGGGCUAAUACCGGAUACGUGCGAGAGCAGAAAGAUUUAUCGCUGAAGGAUCGGCCCGCGUCUGAUUAGCUAGUUGGUGGGUAAUGGCCCACCAAGGCGACGAUCAGUAGCUGGUCUGAGAGGAUGAUCAGCCACAUUGGGACUGAGACACGGCCCAAACUCCUACGGGAGCAGCAGUAAGGAAUAUUGGUCAAUGGAGGCAACUCUGAACCAGCCAUGCCGCGUGCAGGAAGACAGCCCUCUGGGU